RNAcentral lists this unclassified non-coding RNA (3003 nucleotides) under Octopus sinensis (East Asian common octopus). RNAcentral describes it as "collagenase 3-like, transcript variant X2". The record is from RNAcentral. Lineage: Eukaryota; Metazoa; Mollusca; Cephalopoda; Octopoda; Octopodidae.
GGUGGUGGUGGUGAGAAAGAGAGGUGGGGGGUAAAUAGUGUUUAGUUUGUCAUCCCAGAUCCCAGUCCAUCACAGCAGUAUCAGUUUGUCUGUCACUAAGGUCGUUUCUGUUGUUUCUUUGCCCCGUCUACUCCCUUAUUAUCUCUUCCAUUCUCAUCCCAUCUCUCUCUCUCUUUCUCUCUCUCUCUCUCUCUCUCUCUACACACACACACACACAGACACACACACACACAAGUAAGACAUAGAAUAGAGACAGUUUUUCUCAACGAAUAUUCUCUGAGAAAAAGAAAAUAAUAAUAAGAACUAAAAUUAACCAAAUAAACAAACAGUUUAUAAACCUUCCCUACAGAGAAACACUCGUGCUCGCCUGUCCUAGAAAAGUUUGCAAGAAUAUCUCUCCCUCUCUCAUCUUAUUCUUUGAAAGAAACGAAGAAACUUUUGAUAAAACGAUAAGCAAAAAGAAAGAAAGAAAGAAAGAAAGAUACGGAGAAGGAGAGCGGGAGAUAUUGAAAGUCUCAAAAACCCCUUUUUUUAGUGAAGAAAAAAAAGGGGGGGAACAAAAGAGGGGAAAGAAACUGAAAAAUACUUCAAAAGGCAAACGCACACACAAAAGUAAUAAUAAUAAUAAUAAUAAAGAAUCAAAGACGUCCAAAUUCUUCACAUUGGCUCUCUUUAGAGCUGUGUAUAGGUUCCCUCUUUCUUUCAAUUCCAAAGACAAAUGGUUACUUUAUUACCGCCUCUACCCAUCUUUCGGCGAUGCUUGCCCCACGUUUUCUUUUUCUCGUCUUUCUUCUUCUUCUUUGCGAAUUGUUCCACUAAUGGAAGAACAACAACGAAAGGAAUCGUCAUACGGCACUUACUGUCGCAGACGGCAGCUACGGACUUGGACGGCAGAAGUUCGCACCCGACCGAAGAAGCCCCAGUUGGUCUACUAGUCAGCACCGCUGCCGCCUCUGCUACCACCAUUACUACUACCACCACCACACCCGCCGACGUUAAUGCGGGUGGUGAUAGCGCUUGGGGUGGGAUUUGGCCCAGGAACCACUUCGAAGGUGUGAAUUAUCUAAUACGGUAUGGCUACCUCCAUCCUGGUUAUGGUUGGUUCCUUGGCAAUACUGAAGCCAAGAUUGAACUUCAAGCUGCUCUCCAGAGAUACCAAAGAGUUGCAGGAAUAACAGUUACAGGUUUCUUUGAUGAAAAUACAUUUAAAAUGAUGAGGAAAAAACGAUGUGGUGUUCCAGAUAUGAAUUAUGCACCAAGUUUAGGCCUGAGAGAAGCUAUUUCUCCACGUCGCAAGCGAAGAUUUGCUUUACAAGGGUCAAAGUGGAAGCAUCGUGAAAUUACAUACAAGGUCAGUGACUAUCCCCAAAACCUGUCCCACCAUGAUGUGGAUGCUACCAUAAACGCUGCAUUCAAGGUUUGGAGCAACAUAACAUUUCUACAGUUUACGUGGAAGCCAAGGGAUAUUGUAGACAUCAACAUCCGGUUCCUGUCUGGUAACCAUGGUGACGGGAUGCCAUUCGAUGGGCCAGAUGGAAUCACAGCUCAUGCUUUCUUCCCAAACAGCAACAACGAUGACUUUGAUGGAGAUAUUCAUUUUGAUGCUGAAGAAAAUUGGGUGCUGAGUAACAAAGCUGACCAAAAAUCAGGUCAGAUCAGUCUACUGUGUCAAGCGAUCCACCAAAUUGGUCACUCAUUAGGAUUAUUCCACUCUGAGAGCAUUUCAGCACAAAUGUGGCCAUACAUCAUGGAAUGCAAUGGCACUUCAGUGCAUGCUGAUGACAUUCAAGCACUACAGUCACUCUACAGUCCCUCUGAGGGCAUCCAAACUGCAGUUUCUAGUAAUAUGUCAACCAACAAGGAUGAGAACUUUGAAGAUGACCAUUCAGGGUCACAGGGUUCAAGUUCUACAACAGUCAGCAGCUCCCACUUGACCAGCCCAUCGAUGUCAGCUGGGGACAGAUUCUGGUGGACACACAGCCAAGACACACAGACAGAACGACAAACCUAUCCAUAUUGGUACCGCUUCUCCAGACUGGGGCCAUCAACGACCUCACCCUCGGCCUUACUGACAUCAGCUCAAACUACAGUUAGGCCAAAGUACUGUGAUGGCAGAUUGGAUGCUAUCACUGUUGCAACAGAUCACCUGACCUAUGGAUUUAGAGAUGAACUGGUGUUCAGGUUCAACCAGAUCAAUGUUGAUUACACAUUUCCAAAGAAAAUUCAAGAAGUCUUCCCCAGGGGUCCUUUGUCUGUAGAUGCUGCAGUGACCUUCAGUAAAAAUCGAAAGAAAGCAGCCCUUGGUAGCACAUACCUAAUAAAAGGCAACCUAGUUUGGCGCUACAGACACACAGAGGACGGUUUCCAACUGGAACACUUCUAUCCAAAACCCUGGGCCAAAGAAUGGGAUGUAACUGGUACCAAAAUUGAAUCAGCCUUUAAAUUAGGCCGGAAAAUCUACCUGUUAAUUGACAAUCGAAUCUGGUUGUUGAAAGGCAAGAAAUCUCGUCAACGGAAGUAUGAGAAGAAGCGAAUUAAACUGUUCAACCAGCUGCCAGACUUCCAGGCUGCAGUACAAUGGAUCAACAGGAAUACCUAUUUCUUCACUGGCAAUGAGUAUUACAGAGCUGACUUGCCAGCACAGAGGAGACGAUAUGUACUGAAUGGACCGAGGGAUACAGCAUAUUGGUGGUUUGGCUGUAAUGAAAUACCACACAUACGGCAACCUUUUGAAGAUAAAGAUGAUAACGGGUGGGAUCUUGAACUGACUAAAUAAACGGAUGAGUGAAUGAAUGGGGUAGAUGACUGAAUGGGUAGAUGGGUAGAAGGGUGGGUAAGUUGAAUGGUGGUGUAUAGUUGGAUGUCAGUGUAGGUGCAUGGAUGGAUGAAGAGACACAUAGCAUACAAACAUACAUACAUAUUUUAGCAGAUAUAUAGACAACUAUAUUGCCAAAUGAAUAGAUACACUGACAGAUAUAUAUAUAUAUAUAUAUAUAUAUAUAU